GUAAACACAAAUACCUUACAGCUGGGGCAUGGCCCCUCAGACUCACCCCUGGGUGCAGAACAAGAGCUGUUACAACACUGUACCUGCAGAAAGGCCACUCCUUGGGAAUCAGUCCAACAAAGGGAGAGUAAGCUACAAGAAUAAAGGAGG
Molecule: long non-coding RNA, 150 nt
Organism: Empidonax traillii (willow flycatcher)
Lineage: Eukaryota; Metazoa; Chordata; Aves; Passeriformes; Tyrannidae
Exons: 2
Source: RefSeq, a predicted model, not a curated record